RNAcentral lists this unclassified non-coding RNA (152 nucleotides) under uncultured fungus. Its description in RNAcentral is "sequence contains ITS1, 5.8S rRNA gene". Lineage: Eukaryota; Fungi. The record is from RNAcentral.
CCAAUAGGGGGCUUCGGCCCCACUAGGAGAUGCAACCCUUGCCUUUUUCAAGCACCUAUUCGUUUCCUCGGCGGUUUUCGGCCGCCAAUGGGGACCCCUCGAAACCCUUCUGCAAUGAGAAGUCAACCGUCUGAUAGCAAUCUAAAACGUUA